RNAcentral lists this ribosomal RNA (433 nucleotides) under uncultured bacterium. RNAcentral's name for it is "partial 16S ribosomal RNA". It matches the Rfam family "Bacterial small subunit ribosomal RNA", at positions 29 to 507 of the family's 1533-position model. The record is from RNAcentral.
AACGAACGCUGGCGGCAUGCCUAACACAUGCAAGUCGAACGAGACCUUCGGGUCUAGUGGCGCACGGGUGCGUAACGCGUGGGAACCUGCCUUUAGGUUCGGAAUAACUCAGAGAAAUUUGAGCUAAUACCGGAUGAUGUCUUCGGACCAAAGAUUUAUCGCCUUUAGAUGGGCCCGCGUUGGAUUAGCUAGUUGGUGGGGUAAAGGCCUACCAAGGCGACGAUCCAUAGCUGGUCUGAGAGGAUGAUCAGCCACACUGGGACUGAGACACGGCCCAGACUCCUACGGGAAGCAGCAGUGGGGAAUAUUGGAAAAUGGGCGAAAGCCUGAUCCAGCAAUGCCGCGUGAGUGAUGAAGGCCUUAGGGUUGUAAAGCUCUUUUACCCGAGAUGAUGAUGACAGUAUCGGGAGAAUAAGCUCCGGCUAACUCCGUG